This 360-nucleotide transfer-messenger RNA is filed under the name Planctomycetota. Its description in RNAcentral is "DRLC01 sp011053145 Standard tmRNA". It matches the Rfam family "transfer-messenger RNA". From Rfam's summary of the family: Bacterial tmRNA, also known as 10Sa RNA or SsrA, is named for its dual tRNA and mRNA-like properties. Its role is to liberate the mRNA from a stalled ribosome. RNAcentral also lists the same sequence under 1 other name. Lineage: Bacteria; Pseudomonadati. The record is from RNAcentral.
GGGGGCGCACUGGUUUCGACCGGUUUCCGUCUGCUCCGGGCUGCGCGCCGGGGGUUCCGAGGCAACCCCGUCAAUCCUCUCGGAACCGGCAACUUCAAUUGCCAACAACUAUGCACUUGCCGCCUAGUCAAUAGGCAGCCGUUCUCCGUGGGACUGCCCGCGGCCCACGGAGAACGCCAACAGCGGGCUGGCCGACGCCGCAAUGCACCCCGGCGGCCCGGCGAGACACAGGGGGAGCUGGCCUGACGUGAGCCCGUCCUCGGGCGCGCGCCGGGCGAGAACCAAACCGAGGACUACGCGCGUAGAGGUCCGCCGCCAGCCGAUUCCGGGACGCGGGUUCGAUUCCCGCCGCCUCCACCA